Molecule: ribosomal RNA, 253 nt
Filed under: uncultured bacterium
Lineage: Bacteria
Description: partial 16S ribosomal RNA
Rfam family: Bacterial small subunit ribosomal RNA
Source: RNAcentral
GACGAACCGUGCGAACGUUGUUCGGAUUCACUGGGCUUAAAGGGCGCGUAGGCGGCUUGCCAAGUCAGGGGUGAAAUCUUUCGGCUCAACCGGAAAAGUGCCUUUGAUACUGGCGAGCUAGAGGGAGGUAGGGGUGCGUGGAACUUCUGGUGGAGCGGUGAAAUGCGUAGAUAUCAGAAGGAACGCCGGUGGCGAAAGCGACGCACUGGAUCUCUACUGACGCUGAGGCGCGAAAGCCAGGGGAGCGAACGGG